CAAAGAGGGGGACAACAGUUGGAAACGACUGCUAAUACCGCAUAAGCCCACGGCUCGGCAUCGAGCAGAGGGAAAAGGAGUGAUCCGCUUUGAGAUGGCCUCGCGUCCGAUUAGCUGGUCGGUGAGGUAACGGCCCACCAAGGCAACGAUCGGUAGCCGGACUGAGAGGUUGAACGGCCACAUUGGGACUGAGACACGGCCCAGACUCCUACGGGAGGCAGCAGUGGGGAAUAUUGCACAAUGGGGGAAACCCUGAUGCAGCGACGCCGCGUGGAGGAAGAAGGUCUUCGGAUUGUAAACUCCUGUUGUUGAGGAAGAUAAUGACGGUACUCAACAAGGAAGUGACGGCUAACUACGUGCCAGCAGCCGCGGUAAAACGUAGGUCACAAGCGUUGUCCGGAAUUACUGGGUGUAAAGGGAGCGCAGGCGGGAGAACAAGUUGGAAGUGAAAUCCAUGGGCUCAACCCAUGAACUGCUUUCAAAACUGUUUUUCUUGAGUAGUGCAGAGGUAGGCGGAAUUCCCGGUGUAGCGGUGGAAUGCGUAGAUAUCGGGAGGAACACCAGUGGCGAAGGCGGCCUACUGGGCACCAACUGACGCUGAGGCUCGAAAGUGUGGGUAGCAAA
Molecule: ribosomal RNA, 624 nt
Filed under: uncultured bacterium
Lineage: Bacteria
Description: bacterial SSU rRNA
Rfam family: Bacterial small subunit ribosomal RNA
Source: RNAcentral